GAUGAACGCUAGCUACAGGCUUAACACAUGCAAGUCGAGGAGUAACGAGAGGAAAGCUUGCUUUCCUUGUCGACGACCGGCGCACGGGUGAGUAACGCGUAUCCAACCUGCCCCCAACUAGGGAAUAACCUUGCGAAAGUAAGACUAAUACCCUAUAAUUUCCUCAGAUGUCAUCUGACGAGGAAUAAAGAUUUAUCGGUUGUGGAUGGGGAUGCGUCUGAUUAGCUUGUUGGCGGGGUAACGGCCCACCAAGGCAACGAUCAGUAGGGGUUCUGAGAGGAAGGUCCCCCACAUUGGAACGGAGACACGGUCCAAACUCCUGCGGGAGGCGGCAGUGAGGAAUAUUGGUCGAUGGGCGGAAGCCUGAACCAGCCAAGUAGCGUGCAGGAUGACGGCCCUAUGGGUUGUAAACUGCUUUUAUACAGGAAUAAAGUUAGCCACGUGUGGUUAUUUGUAGGUACUGUAUGAAUAAGGACCGGCUAAUUCCGUGCCAGCCGCCGCCGUAA
RNAcentral lists this ribosomal RNA (506 nucleotides) under uncultured bacterium. Its description in RNAcentral is "partial 16S ribosomal RNA". It matches the Rfam family "Bacterial small subunit ribosomal RNA", at positions 28 to 523 of the family's 1533-position model. The record is from RNAcentral.